CAGUAGCCGCGGGAAUACGGAGGGUGCAAGCGUUAAUCGGAAUUACUGGGCGUAAAGCGCACGCAGGCGGUCUGACAAGUCAGAUGUGAAAUCCCCGGGCUUAACCUGGGAACUGCAUUUGAAACUGUCAGGCUGGAGUCUUGUAGAGGGGGGUAGAAUUCCAGGUGUAGCGGUGAAAUGCGUAGAGAUCUGGAGGAAUACCGGUGGCGAAGGCGGCCCCCUGGACAAAGACUGACGCUCAGGUGCGAAAGCGUGGGGAGCAAACAGGAUUAGAUACCCGUGUAGUCCCUGUCUCUUAUAC
Molecule: ribosomal RNA, 301 nt
Filed under: uncultured bacterium
Lineage: Bacteria
Description: partial 16S ribosomal RNA
Rfam family: Bacterial small subunit ribosomal RNA
Source: RNAcentral